This is a long non-coding RNA of Peromyscus californicus insignis, 8619 nucleotides long. RefSeq lists it as uncharacterized. Lineage: Eukaryota; Metazoa; Chordata; Mammalia; Rodentia; Cricetidae. The record is from RefSeq and is a predicted model, not a curated record. The transcript has 4 exons.
UCCCACAGGUCCUGUGGCAGGAGUAGGAGCAGAGAGGCAGAGAAGACACGGCCAUUCCCACCCUGUGCAAGACCUGCUUUUGGUGAAUCUGGCCCAGGGGAGCUACCCAGACUGGAGUCAGCCGCCCCACCACCAACAGCCCUGUGCUGGGUUGGCAGAGGAACUCAGACGAGGAUGGAAGGACUCUUGAGACCAAACCUGCCACCUACUGCUCUCCUCCCACUCUGCUUCCAGGAAGAACCAGCCUGUUGCGGACGGGCCUCCACCGCAUCUUCCUGAUGACAGCUGCUGUGGGCCUUCUCCUCUGCUGCAUUUGGGGUCCUCACAGCCUCGUUUACAGGAGUCUGCUGCCGCUCUCCUCUUACUGGUUCUUGCGGUUCUCUGGCAUCUUGGGUUCUUCUCUCAGCUCUGAAGAUUUCCGGAGUUCUCUACCAGGCUGUGGUAUUGGGAGCAUCGCCACAGAAGAAAAGAUGGCAUCUAGUGGAGAGUGUCACCUGGUCUCUCCUCCUCAGCCCCGUGGAGGAAGGUGACCUCCAACCUUGAAAGGAGAAUCAGCAGCAAAGGCCGCAGUUCAGCCUCCCUAGUCUAGACCAUGGGCCAGGCCCCAGUGGCAGGAUGUGUCUGCCUGCAUCUGGCUUGGGCAGAGGCACCACUGUUGCUUGGUCUACCUGUGAGGCAGGAGGUGGGGGAAGCCGGGAUGCCAGGCCUGACAGUGCUGGUGCCGUACACCGGAGCCAGCAGAAGUGGGGGGCUUUGCCCAUCUCUAAAAGCAGUCCUCUUCCUUAGGUCUGCCUGGAAAUGGAGUCUGACCUCACAGUGUUCCUAAGUUAGCAGGGAGUACAUAAAUUAAGAAAGGACCAGCUGUGAUUCAAACGUCGUCUUCACUGUCCAGCAGUUUUUAACGAAGUGACAGGACCCUAAAUCAGUUCUGCCUGGCACUGCUUAUUAGCUGCAAAUUGUCCUGCAUCUGUCUGUCAGAAGCAGGAAGGACAUCUCAUUGCUUCUAACGCCUCAAGUCCUAAUAUGUAGUGGGCAUCAAAGGGUUUCCCAUGCUCGCCUUAGAGUGGAGCUCACAGUGUGGCUGUUCACUCAGGUCCCAUCACUGCCUGUCUGCUCUGCUCUGUCCACCCUGGCGAGUGUCCAGGAGAUCACUGUACUUUCAUGGCAUUCACAAGGGGACAAGUAGGUAGGAAGAGGCUGGAGAAACACAUGAAGUAGCUAUGAAGAAUGUGCUACCACUGUGUCAUGCUAACUGCGCACUCAGGAGAAGGUGUGGUUCUCAGUCCCAGCCUCCAGUGGAUGGUGCUUUCUCCCUCACUUGUCUAUUUGCUCGGCCUCUCUCCAGGGCCUUCCUGCCCACUUGCAUUACUGACUUCUGGCUCCCUGUGCUGUGUACUGCUGACCCUGGCUGAGAUGGAGGGGAGGGGCAGGCAUCCUCUGCUUCAGCAAGCUUAACCCACGUGUGGGUUCCUGCCUUCAUCACAUGCAAAAGACUUCUAGAAAAGGCCAUGCCAUGUAGGGUGGAGUGUAGGGGACCCUGUGACAGCAGCAGCAGAAAUCAAACAGCAAACUCAGGCUCCCUGGAAUACCUUCCCCCUGCCUCAGCGGCUGCUCCAGUCAGCAGCUCACACAGCCUCAAGUACUCACUUUCUUCUCCGGUUCUCUGAAAACCCAGAUUGGAGAGUCAGGAACCUAAAAGCAGUUUCUGGUACAUUCCACUCAUUCCUGCAGCUGGAUUUACUCAGGGCUCUGGUUCCUAGUAUGGCAUCUCCUUUGAAGAGACCUUCAGAUCGGAACCAGCCUGGACAGGUCAGCUCCUAGAUGUGGCCACAAGCCAGUUCCCACAGACACUAUGCGAGCAACACCUCCACCCCACAUACCUGGGAGCUCCUCUUUGAUUUUUGUUUAUGUUGUUGAGACAGGGCUUCACUUAGCCUAGACUGGCCUUGAAUUCCUCAUGCUCUGCUUCAGUCUCCAGGUGUUUAGACUGUAAGCAUGGACCACCACACCUGGCCUUGGUGCUGACAAGAAGGGGUCUCAGAAGGUUGAGUGAGGUUAUGACCCCCACAACAGCCUCUUCCUCCCUGCCAGGCACCAGGGAGGACCUGCCUAUGCUGCCCCCUUUCCCCUUGGCCUUCAGGGCCCAGCUCACAUGUCUGCUGAAGUCCCUCUAACCGUUACCUUGGCCUUGAUUAGACAAAGGGAACAUGGCCUUGUUCAGCCUCACACAGCAAGCCCCAGGUGAUGGCAACUCCUGUGUCCAUCUCAUGCCACACACUGAGUGCUGAGCCAUUGCAAGACAGGAACCGGGGCCCUCCAGCCUCAGCCCUAGCACAGGCCACAAGCUCACAGAACAUUUCCAAAGCAGCAUGACCGAUAGUCAGGUACAAAUGCCAAAAGGUACCAACCCAUGUGUUCUCAAUGGUGUUCUGGCAAGGAUUUUGGUGAAAAGAAACACUGGUCUCACAAAGUAACCCUUACCAGUGCAAAUUGAUUGGGGUGCUAUGGUUACCCUUGGGCAGUUGUGCCCAAAAUACCUGUGAGAAAAUCUUAAGAGGAAACUGAUCCUGGCUCAUAGCUUCCAAAGGUUCAGUCUGUGACUGCUUUCCCACACACUUGGGACACAGUUGGAGAAAGUUUCUUUGACUCUUAAAGACAGGAAGUGGAGAGUAAGGGGGACCUGGUGAUCACCUACAGCCUUCAAGUUUCCUCCAGUGACACCCACCUCCUAAAGCUUCCAAAGUUUCAUGAAACAAUGGAACAAGUGUUCACCACAUGAGCCUGUUGUGGGCAGUGCAUAGUCAAACCACGGGAAGGUAACAAAACGCCAGAUACAGAUAUCUAGAAAGAGCUCUAUAAACCCCUAAAGACCCAUAAUAACUUGGAUGGGGCUCAAGACCUAGCAAGGACACAGUAGCCUAGCCUUGGUACCUGCUGAAUAGGUACCAGCAGUCAUGUGACUUGGCCUGUCAAUUUAUCAGCAGGUCUCACCUGUAAUCUGAACAUGGGUAAUGACACUAAUCAUGGCACCUUUCCCUCAUUCCUUGCUUUAUUCAGUAAUUUUUAAACAACGUAAUAAGCAACCCUUGAUACACAACUACUAGGCUCUUGGGAACAGCAUGCACUAUUAGUCCCUCUGGCUGAGCCCAUCCCCUGCCCGUACAGCCUAAAGUAGGGACCUGGACUAACUUCAGAAUCCUCACUUCCAGGCUGUACUUUCUAUACAGGGUCAUGGUAUCUGUCUGCAUUUCGAAAGGUAUCUAUCUACUUUUGUGUAUGUCUCUACUAAAAGAUGCAGUUGACCUGGGGCACUUCAUUUUCACAUCUUUUGAAAGCUGUCUGCUGCUCUGCUUUGGUUAAAAGUGUUUCCAGCACCUGGGACAUUGUUUAUAGAUCUGCUCUGUAGCCUUUGAACACACCUAGGAAAUGCCUUCUAAGCAGUUAUCUGUCCUCCUACAGCUCAAGGAUUCAGCAAUGAACCUGCAUCACCUCCCAUGCUUGGUAUCAUCAGCUGUUAAUGCCCAUCUCCUUCUAGGAGUGUUGCAGCCAUGCGGCAUGUGUGAACCAGCACAGCUCAGUCAGUGCCUGAGAUAAAAUGUGCUUGAUUACAAAAGAACUCAUACUACAGGAACCCAGAAAAUCAGGAAGAGGGGAGCCUGACAGCAGUCACCUCCCAAGGCCUGGCAUUUCUUUACAAUGGAGGAAUACAUUCCCCUUAGCUGGGCAGUCUACACCUGUUUAGUCACAGUCUGUGGGAGCCCUCCUUCCACCCAGCCACGGUUAUACCCAGCCACCAGUGUUCCCAGAGUCCCCAGACUGCCACAGCUCUAGUCCAGGUGCCCAGAGAGCAACUUCUACAUAACAAGCCUGGCUCCUUUUCAGAGUUACAGUGAAGAUGUCUAGAAGUCUGGGCAUCUCCCUCUAGGGAAGCCGGCCUCUUCUGAUCUAGGGUAGGAGUUCCCACCAAGCACUGAACAAAGCCAUUCUUUUACUUUAAAACCUAUGUUAGGAAUCUUCAGUUCAGCAGCAGAGUGCCAUCAAGGACAGAGGUGGGCACCAGGGCUGCCCGUGCAGAACUGCACCAAGGCAUAUAGAUGUAGUUUCCAGGGGCCACCAUGAGAGAGAAAAAACCAUGACUAUAUGCCAGUGUGGACAGUCCUGCAUGCAGCAUUUUCUUGUUGGAGAAUAUCAUUUUAAGGUGUUACUUUUGUUUAUGUUGCAUUUGUUUAACUCUGUGAAGCUGUGUUACUGUGCCUGUCUAAAACACCUGAUGGUCUAAUAAAGAACUGGACAGCCAAUAGUGAGGUAAGAGAAAGGAUAGGUGGGGCUGGCAGGCAGAGAGAAUGUAUAGAAGGAGAAAUCUGAGAGGAGAGGAAAUCUAGGAGCCAGAGAAGGAAUGAGAGAGAAGGAGGAGGACAUCAGGAGCCAGCCACCCAGCUACACAGCAAGCCACAGAGUAAGAGUAAGAUUUACAGAAGUAAGAGAAUGGGAAAAGCCCAGAGGCAAAACUUAGAUGGGAUAAUUUAAAGUUAAGGAAAGCUGGCAAGAAACAAGCCAAGCUAAGGCUGGACAUUUAUGAUUAAGAAUAAGCCUUUGUGUGUGAUUUAUUUGGGAGCUGGGUGGCGGGGCCCUCCAAAAGAGUAAAAAAAAAAAUUUUCUGGUGAUCUAAUUUCAAAUUCUUGCCACCUUUCUAUGGGUCAAGUUCUACCCAGUUAAGAAAAGGAAAGCUGUCUUGGGCAUCACCAUCCUCUGGAGAGAUGCACACAUGCCGUUUAUAAAGCAAAAUCAGUGCCAUCAUUAGGCACCAUGGAGGGUGUGAGUGCUGCUGUGGACUCCACAGAUCAGCUCACCCCGUGGAAGCCAUGGAGAUUUUCACUCUGAAGUUUGCUAGACCAUCACAGGGUAGAAAGAAGGAUGAGUAGACAGGACGGCAUCUCCCUCACACUUAGUCCUUCACAUACUGAAGAAGCACGGGCCCUGAGGAGAGGACACUGGGCAGAGCUUCAGAAAGCCUCACUGGAGAGCAUCUCUGAGGGCUCUGAAGGUGGAGACUGUGUGCCCAGCAUGACUAGGACAUCAGGGUGGACAAGGAUGCCAUGACAGGGCAGAAGAGCUGCCCAAGUGGCAGGCUGGGUCCCACUACACAGGGGUGGGAAGGCAGACAGGAACCCAGAGUCCAUCAGAACCCGGGCAGCAGUUAGCUGUGUGGGAGAGCAGGGAAACUGUGACAAAUAUAGCCCUGACAGGCCGCCCUGACAGGAGGGUGGCAAAAGCACAUGGGAGAGGGACUGGACAGGGAAUCAGGAGAUGACCUGGGCUGGGAUACAGAUGACAGUGGAGUGACCUGCACUGGAUGGAUUGAAAGUGCAUCUGAAGUGUGCUUUCACUGAAGGCUAGUGCAAAUCUACCACAUACUACACCACACAUAUGCACGCACACACAUACCACACAUACAACCACAUACACACAGGACUCACACAUACACACCACACAUACACAAACACACACACACACAGAGGACUCACACAGAGGACUCACACACACACAGGACUCACACAUACACACCACACAUACACAAACACACACAGAGGACUCACACACCACACAUACACACACAGGACUCACACCACACACACACACACACACACACACACACAUACAGAGGACUCACACACACACAUACAACCCCACACACAGGACACACACACACACCACACAUACACACACACAUUCAGAGGACUCACACACACACAUACAACCCCACACACAGGACACACACACACACCACACAUACACACAGAGGACUCACACACACAUACAGAGAACUCACACACACAGAGGACUCAUACACAUACACCACACACACACACACACACACACACACACACACACAGAGGACUCACUACCCAAACUAGCACACUGCAGCAGCACUGCAGGUAACCGAGUAUCACAGGCAGCAGCACCGCAGGGUAACCGAGUAUCACAGGCAGCAGCACCGCAGGGUAACUGAGUAUCACAGGCAGCAGCACUGCAGAUAACCGAGUAUCACAGGCAGCAGCACCGCAGGUAACUGAGUAUCACAAGCAGCAGCACCGCAGGGUAACUGAGUAUCACAGGCAGCAGCACUGCAGGGUAACCGAGUAUCUCAGGCAGCUGCACCGCAGGGUAACCAAGUAUCACAGGCAGCAGCACCGCAGGUAACCGAGUAUCACAGGCAGCAGCACCACAGGUAACCAAGUAUCACAGGCAGCUGUACCGCAGGGUAACCGAGUAUCACAGGCAGCAGCACCGCAGGGUAACCGAGUAUCACAGGCAGCAGCACCGCAGGGUAACCAAGUAUCACAGGCAGCAGCACCGCAGGGUAACUGAGUAUCACAGGCAGCAGCAAUGUGUCAUGACUCUGGGUGCUGCUGUGUUCUGGGUCUUAGAGGCGGUUGCUCGUGGAACUGAAGCUGUAAAUGCACCCCUCUCCUCUUCCACCCCGCCCCCGUCUAACCUGAAGUCUAUUCCACCUGGGGUUCUGGUUUCAGCCUAACAGUCUGGCUUUUUUCAUGGGCAGAAUGUGGUAUAUGACAGGAUCUCUUUAUUUUUUAAGGGUGGAUAUUAUUUCACUGAAUGUACAUACCACAUUUUCUUACAUCUUCACCCCUAGAAGGACCCUUAGGUACCUCCCACCUCUUGGGUAUGGGAACAGUGCUACAAUGAACAUGGUGCGCACAUGUUUCUUUCAGGGGUGUCUCCAAUUCUUACAAUGUAACACCUAGAAGUAGGAUUGUUGUGUUCCAUGUUAUUGUAUGUUUAGUCUUCCGAGGGACCCCUGCACUGUUUCCCUUGGUAGUUACACUGUUUCACUCUCCAGUAAACACCACAUAGGGCUCUAGCUUCUCAUCCAGGUCCUCACCAUUUGUUACUUUUGCAUGUUUCCAAUGUGUAAGGUGGCUUCCCACAGACACUUGAUUUAUGUCGCUCUAGCAGUGCCGGGCAUCUUUUAAUGUUUGCUGACUGUUUGUGUUUCUCGGGAGAAAUGUGAUUCAAACUUCUGCCCAUUUUACACUGGAUUGUAGCUUUCUGGUUUAUUCUGCAUCUUCUGCCCUUUUCCCUGCAGCUAUUCCAAGUCCUACAUGUCCUCUCUAGAUUUUGUUUCUAUUCUUUGUUUUCUUGUAAUUUUAUGACUUUGGGUCUUAAGUCAGGUCCCUAACCGUCUGGAGUGAGUUUCUCUAAGGUACCAGGAAGGGCUCAAUGCAUUCUUUUGCAAGUGAUACUUGGGGUUCUAUGUCUUUCCAUUUACUCGUGGCUUCCUUAAUUCCUUUCAAUAAUGUUUGCAGUGCGUGAUGUGUGGAUCUUUUCUCAGUUCCAUUCAGCCUAGCUGCUUUGAUGUGACUGUAACUAGAUGGUCAUGAUCUCCCCUCAGACAGUUUGUCAAGAGCAUACAGAAACUGGACCCUGGGGUGACAGCUCAGAACCCUGCAACCUGGUUGAAUCCGUGUUAUAUCUGCGUUACCUGGGACUUUAGGGGAUCAAUCUUUCAAGUUUCCCUUCCUGCUUUCAUGUCCUCCCUGGCCUGACUGUCCUGAUGGGAACAGUGGCAGGAGACGGCAUCCCCUUCUGCUGACUCCAGCAGGCGUGCUGGAGGGUGAUGUUAGCUGAGGAUGUAACAAUGGUGAGGGCCUCUCUGUUCUUCUUUCAUACUUUCAUCACUGAGGGUGUCACAAAGCAUCUUUUCCACAUCAGCUGGGCUGAGAGUGUGUCUCUGCCCUCCUGUUAAUGUGCAUUAUAUAAAUUUUCGGGUUCUGAACCAUUCUUGCCUUCUGAAAACCAGCCCCAUGAUUUGGUCAGGGCAUGGCAUCCUUUCCAUGGAUGUUGAAUUGGUUCUGGUGUUUUCUGAGGCACCUGUAGUCACAGUAAGGACAUCUGUGUUGUUUUGGUGUCAGGAUAAGUCUGACCAUGUAAAUGUAUCUGAACUGACUCUUUCCUUACAGUUGCUGAGAGCUGCUUUUGCUCCUCUGUAUGAGGUGGCGAUGACCAACAAUGAAAUUGUCUGGCCUUGGACUUGCCCCUUCAUGAAGAGUUAGGUACCGAUUCGGUCUCCUAACUAUAGAUCUGCCCAGAUGUUUUAUUUCUACCAAAAUUCCAUGGCAGCUUGUUCAAACUUGAACUUUAUAGGGAGAUCCCACAUUUACUUAUGGGUCAGAAAGCAGGAAGGGAAUAAUCGCAGGUGACUGUGGGUCAUACCUGGGCUGCAAAGAGGGUGCCCAAAGAAACUCAAAUAGAGCUUAAGCUUUAAUCUGUUUGUGCAGAGAGUGCAUACAAAUGGUACCAGAGGAAGUUAGUUUACGCUGUUUGUGCAGAGAAUAGAUACAAAGGAUGGCUGAGAGGAAGUUAGCUCGGAUUGUUUGUAUGGAGAUUAGAGACGAAUGGUGAGGAAGUAAGUUAGCUCAAGUUAUUUAUGCUAAAAUAAGAUGCUAAACACAGGAAAUGAUGUCAGGGUAUAGACAACUUGUAAACAGGGUGACCUUUAAAAUGAUUGGAUGGUUCCUUCAUCCCCUCCCAGGGUUCUGAGGUUUUCUGGUAUAAAAGAGGCUUACUGCCUAUCAAUAAAGGAGUUCUUGCUUGACUUGA